UGGGUGAAGGAGGAAAGCCCUAGGGCUGCUCCAGCACAGCAGCCUGAAGAGGUGCAGCAGGUGCAGCCCCCGCAGGAGGAUGCAGGCCAGGAGCGGACAGAAGAGCAGCUCCGUGCCCGUGGCCGCUUCCGCAGGGCAGCACAGCUGGUUUGCAGAUUCAUCAGGUGCAUUUGGCGUGAAGAGGCCACUUUCAUGGCCACUGGGGACACGGCAAACUCGGACCUCUUCAAUGCCCAGACCAGCGCUGCCCUGCUGGAUAUGCUGGUGGAGAACGGUGUCUACAAAGCAAAGCAAGUAAGCAGCCUGUGGCCAGGGCUCCAGUCCCCCAGGGAUGCUGUGGCCCCUCACACCGGCUGCGCUGGGCCCCCUCAGCCUUUGAGACUAGCAGAGUGUGGUGGCAAGGGGAGCACUUCUUGGGGGAAA
Molecule: long non-coding RNA, 423 nt
Organism: Pseudopipra pipra
Lineage: Eukaryota; Metazoa; Chordata; Aves; Passeriformes; Pipridae
Exons: 3
Source: RefSeq, a predicted model, not a curated record